UCCAGACUCCUACGGGAGGCAGCAGUGGGGGAUAUUGCACAAUGGGGGGAACCCUGAUGCAGCGACGCCGCGUGGGUGAAGGAGCGUUUCGGCGCGUAAAGCCCUAUCGGCAGGGAAGAAGGAGGACGGUACCUGACUAAGAAGCCCCGGCUAAUUCCGUGCCAGCAGCCGCGGUAAUACGGGAGGUCCGGGCGUUAUCCGGAUUUAUUGGGUUUAAAGGGAGCGUAGGCCGGCUUUUAAGUCAGCUGUGAAAGUCCGCGGCUCAACCGUGGAAUUGCAGUUGAAACUGGAGGCCUUGAGUGCACACAGGGAUGCCGGAAUUCAUGGUGUAGCGGUGAAAUGCUUAGAUAUCAUGAAGAACUCCGAUCGCGAAGGCAAGUGUCCGGGGUGCAACUGACGCUGAGGCUCGAAAGUGCGGGUAUCAAACAGGAUUUGAUACCCCGGUA
Molecule: ribosomal RNA, 446 nt
Filed under: uncultured bacterium
Lineage: Bacteria
Description: partial 16S ribosomal RNA
Rfam family: Bacterial small subunit ribosomal RNA
Source: RNAcentral